Molecule: ribosomal RNA, 401 nt
Filed under: uncultured bacterium
Lineage: Bacteria
Description: bacterial SSU rRNA
Rfam family: Bacterial small subunit ribosomal RNA
Source: RNAcentral
GGGGAAUCUUGCACAAUGGGGGCAACCCUGAUGCAGCGACGCCGCGUGAGCGAUGAAGCCCUUCGGGGCGUAAAGCUCUUUCGACCGGAACGAUAAUGACGGUACCGGGAGAAGAAGCUGCGGCUAACUACGUGCCAGCAGCCGCGGUAAUACGUAGGCAGCAAGCGUUGUUCGGAGUUACUGGGCGUAAAGAGUGCGUAGGCGGUUUUCUAAGUUCGGUGUGAAAUCUCCCGGCUUAACUGGGAGGGUGCGCCGAAGACUGGGAAGCUGGAGUGUGCGAAAGGCAGGCGGAAUUCCUGGUGUAGCGGUGAAAUGCGUAGAUAUCAGGAGGAACACCGGCUGUGUAGACGGCUUGCUAGACCAUAACUGACGCUGAGGCACGAAAGCGUGGGUAGCAAACA